AGAACGAACGCUGGCGGCAGGCCUAACACAUGCAAGUCGAACGCCCCGCAAGGGGAGUGGCAGACGGGUGAGUAACACGUGGGAACAUACCCUUCGGUUCGGAAUAACUCAGGGAAACUUGAGCUAAUACCGGAUACGUCCGCGAGGAGAAAGAUUCAUCGCCGGAGGAUUGGCCCGCGUCCGAUUAGCUAGUUGGUGAGGUAACGGCUCACCAAGGCGACGAUCGGUAGCUGGUCUGAGAGGAUGAUCAGCCACAUUGGGACUGAGACACGGCCCAAACUCCUACGGGAGGCAGCAGUGGGGAAUAUUGGACAAUGGGCGAAAGCCUGAUCCAGCCAUGCCGCGUGAGUGAUGAAGGCCCUAGGGUUGUAAAGCUCUUUCGUCAGGGACGAUAAUGACGGUACCUGAAGAAGAAGCCCCGGCUAACUUCGCGCCAGUAGCCGC
Molecule: ribosomal RNA, 444 nt
Filed under: uncultured bacterium
Lineage: Bacteria
Description: SSU rRNA
Rfam family: Bacterial small subunit ribosomal RNA
Source: RNAcentral